This is a long non-coding RNA of Sebastes umbrosus (honeycomb rockfish), 1341 nucleotides long. RefSeq lists it as uncharacterized. The transcript is spliced from 3 exons. The record is from RefSeq and is a predicted model, not a curated record. NCBI's taxonomy places the organism in Eukaryota, Metazoa, Chordata, Actinopteri, Perciformes, Sebastidae.
GGCGACAGAGAGGUGGAGGUGGUGGAGGUGGUGGUGGUGGUGGUGGUGGUGGUUUGAGGUGGUGGUUUGAGGUGGUGGUGCAGGAACAGGACAUGAACACACACAGGCAGGCAGGCAGGCGGUUCGGGCAGGCGGGCGCGCGGGCAGGCAGGCAACGAUCCGAGUCCGAGCCAGCCGAGUGAACCGAGACAAGACAGGAGACAGGAGUGAGACAGAGCAACAGUAACAUACUGUAUGGGCAGGUGUAGUCACUAGCAGCGAGCAGGAAACACGUCCCCGUGCUCCGGCGGUCGUGUUCCCGGGUGCUGGACCUUCGCAUGGGGACCCUCUCCUCUGGAGACAUGGUCAGGUCGCUGCCGCCGCUGCAGUCUGCUGACAGAACUGUGAGAACAGAAACAGUGUUUAUCGAACCACCUGUCAGAUGCAGAGCUCCCAUCCAGCGUCUCCACCGCCCUGCCUGGAAGAAGCUCAGCUCAGGCUGAAUGUGCAAACAUCCACAGCUUUUCUCCGAGAGAGAGCUAGACGGAGCAGAUUUCCACACACACAGCCUACUACGCUCCUUCUCCACCUUCCUCCCACAGAUCCAUCCACUGCUGCGCUCUCUGCCUACUGAGCCCUGAAGAAGUCGUUUCACAGAUUCACACCCUGCCUUGUUUUUGGAUCGCAUGACUCACGCGCUCUCGAAAUACCAUUGCCACUAUUUGGGUCACUCUGCGGCUGAACUGUGUGCUGUGCAUUCACUCUGCUGCUGUUAGCAUGCACUCUCUUCAUAUAUAUUAUAUACAUGUAUGUCUUUAUCGUCUUAUAAGUGCAUGUGUUCAUUUCUUUGCAUUACCAUAAGCCAUAUUCCUAUUCACAAAAUGUUCAGACAAAAAAAAGUUUUGUCUUCCUUUGCACGUCUUUUAUAAACAUUGACCUUUUCUGUAUGUUUUCCCUCAGCCUUAUCGUGUCUACUGGCACUUACAGUACGGCAACAUACAGUACAGUAGUGAUGUACUGAAAGCUAGAGCAUCAUAAGGGCUUGGUGUUUGUGACUGCAUUGCAUUUGGUCUAUUAAAGCUGCUAAUAUAGACACUUGAGUCUGCUUCCUCUUCUAUAGACUGAUCUAGGAGCUGUGGGCGGAAGUAAACAAGACACCAUUUCUGCUGUUGAUCUCACUUGUAAACCUGCACAGCAACACUGUGAAAAUGAAAUGACGUUCUCUCUAGAAUCAGACUAUCUUUUAAUUUUACUUUACUUUUUACUUUUAACAGUUUCUUGGGUUUCAGAAGAAAUCAUGGAUUGCAUAUUUAUGAUCAUAAGCUAACAAAUAACUUGAACGGGGUUUAAUAUCUACACAGC